GAUUAACGAGGGGGGAGGGAAGAACAAAGACAAGUCGAACGAUGAAACUUAAAUGAUUUCUUCGGAAUGAACUUAAGUGGAUUAGUGGCGGACGGGUGAGUAACGCGUGAGUAACCUGCCUUACACAAGGGGAUAGCCGUUGGAAACGACGAAUAAUACCCUAUGAAACUAUCACUUCGCAUGAAGCGAUAGUCAAAGUGUUAGCGGUGUAAGAUGGACUUGCGUCUGAUUAGCUAGUUGGUGAGAAAAAAGCCCACCAAGGCAACGAUCAGUAGCCGGCUUGAGAGAGUGUACGGCCACAUUGGGACUGAGACACGGCCCAGACUCCUACGGGAGGCAGCAGUGGGGAAUUUUGCACAAUGGGGGAAACCCUGAUGCAGCGACGCCGCGGUCUGUUGCCGGCCUUCGGGUUGUAAAAAUCUUUUGUAUAGGAAGAAAAUGACAGUACUAUACGAAUAAGGUCCGGCUACUUACGUC
RNAcentral lists this ribosomal RNA (477 nucleotides) under uncultured bacterium. RNAcentral describes it as "partial 16S ribosomal RNA". It matches the Rfam family "Bacterial small subunit ribosomal RNA", at positions 28 to 507 of the family's 1533-position model. The record is from RNAcentral.